CCGACUCCUCUGUUUCUGAAACAACCUCUAUAGCCAUUGAGCUAGAACUGUUGUCUUUGUUUGAGUUCUUUUUGAUUUUUUUAAGAUUUUGCACAGGCGUUGCAUGGCUGUCGUCAGCCCGUGGUGCCAAACCGUCCAGUCAGGGCACGGGCAUCUCCCUAGCUCAGUAUAGCGGUCUUUAUCACUUUUAAUCGAGUGAUAAACUCUCCACUUUGAAAACAAAAAAGAAACAACAAAAAUUAAAACUGUGGAGAAAAGAAACCUAUAAUAGCCUAUACGAGACAUCUCGUGAUUUUUUUUUUACAAACCGAGAGGUUUGCUUUUAAGAGAUUUCAUAAUCACGGGAAGGAAGCUGGGACCACGUCAAGUCAUCAUGGCCCAUAUGGAGUGGGCUACACGUGUGUGACAUGGACCGUUUCAAUGCGUCAAGGUUGAAAGCCUUGGUCUAGGAAAAACGGUCAUAGUACGGAUGAUUGUUUGCAACUCAGCAAUCUGAAGCAGGAAUCGCCAGUAAUCGCGGAUUAGCCCGCCGCGGUGAA
This 539-nucleotide non-coding RNA is filed under the name Monoraphidium neglectum. Its description in RNAcentral is "Bacterial small subunit ribosomal RNA". It matches the Rfam family "Bacterial small subunit ribosomal RNA", at positions 965 to 1366 of the family's 1533-position model. The record is from Rfam by way of RNAcentral. Lineage: Eukaryota; Viridiplantae; Chlorophyta; Chlorophyceae; Sphaeropleales; Selenastraceae.